CCUACGGGAGGCAGCAGUGAGGAAUAUUGGACAAUGGGGGCAACCCUGAUCCAGCAAUGCCGCGUGUGUGAAGAAGGCCUGCGGGUUGUAAAGCACUUUCGGUAGGGACGAAAAGCCGAGGGCUAAUAUCCUUCAGUCUUGACUUAACCUAAAGAAGAAGCACCGGCUAACUCCGUGCCAGCAGCCGCGGUAAU
This 194-nucleotide ribosomal RNA is filed under the name uncultured bacterium. RNAcentral describes it as "partial 16S ribosomal RNA". It matches the Rfam family "Bacterial small subunit ribosomal RNA", at positions 338 to 524 of the family's 1533-position model. The record is from RNAcentral.